UACGAAGGGGGCUAGCGUUGUUCGGAAUUACUGGGCGUAAAGGGCGCGUAGGCGGUGUGUCAAGUCAGGCGUGAAAGCCCCGGGCUCAACCUGGGAACAGCGCUUGAGACUGGCACGCUCGAGUUCGGGAGAGGAUGGUGGAAUUCCCGGUGUAGAGGUGAAAUUCGUAGAUAUUGGGAAGAACACCGAUGGCGAAGGCAGCCAUCUGGACCGACACUGACGCUGAGGCGCGAAAGCGUGGGGAGCAAACAGG
RNAcentral lists this ribosomal RNA (253 nucleotides) under uncultured bacterium. RNAcentral's name for it is "partial 16S ribosomal RNA". It matches the Rfam family "Bacterial small subunit ribosomal RNA", at positions 524 to 776 of the family's 1533-position model. The record is from RNAcentral.